GGAGGAGGAUCUCUCCCCACAAGUUUACUUUGCCCUUUGAGGGAGAUGAGUUUCAGCCUCAACAAACGCGCCGUGAGAGGACCGGUGCGUGGGGAGUAAAAAGCUUGAGAGCACGCUGAAAUCUGCUGAAUUCAGGAUUACCGGCGGGCCAUGGACGCUUCGGUGUAGCGGAGUUUGUGUGCGGAUUCCCGGGUUGUGCGCCUGCAGCUGAGCGGACCGCGCAGCGCGACUCCAGGCGGCUCUGAAGGAAACCAUAUCUGGUCAAAGUAUUCGUUGCUGUCACACAGCGGGACCGUCCGGCUAUAAAUAGCGCUGGAGGAGGAGGACCGACUCUUUGCCAAGGAGCGCUGCAGGGCACUUGAUGUUCUGUUGCUUUUAUAUACCUGAGCUGGGGGGACACUGAGAUAAAGAUUCUUGUUUCCAAACUUUGGGAUCCCUGUGAGCCUCUGGUUUCCUACAUUUGAUCUUUCUCGUUUGGAAGGGUUAUCGAGAGGUGUGCUGUCCAUCAUGUCGGUGCUGAAGAAGGAGAUGGAGAAAUACAGGGACAUAGACGAGGACGAGCUGCUGAAGAAGCUGUCGGAGGAAGAGCUGCAGCGAUUAGAGGAUGAGUUAGAGGAGCUGGAU
This is a non-coding RNA of Labrus bergylta (ballan wrasse), 624 nucleotides long. Lineage: Eukaryota; Metazoa; Chordata; Actinopteri; Labriformes; Labridae. The record is from RefSeq and is a predicted model, not a curated record.